UACGGGGGGGGCAAGCGUUGUUCGGAAUUACUGGGCGUAAAGGGCUCGUAGGCGGCCAACUAAGUCGGACGUGAAAUCCCCAGGCUCAACCUGGGAACUGCGUCCGAUACUGGAUGGCUUGAAUCCGGGAGAGGGAUGCAGAAUUCCAGGUGUAGCGGUGAAAUGCGUAGAUAUCUGGAGGAACACCGGUGGCGAAGGCGGCAUCCUGGACCGAUAUUGACGCUGAUGCGCGAAAGCCAGGGGAGCAAACGGG
This 253-nucleotide ribosomal RNA is filed under the name uncultured bacterium. RNAcentral describes it as "partial 16S ribosomal RNA". It matches the Rfam family "Bacterial small subunit ribosomal RNA", at positions 524 to 776 of the family's 1533-position model. The record is from RNAcentral.